Long non-coding RNA from Erigeron canadensis, 528 nucleotides. RefSeq lists it as uncharacterized. The transcript has 3 exons. NCBI's taxonomy places the organism in Eukaryota, Viridiplantae, Streptophyta, Magnoliopsida, Asterales, Asteraceae. The record is from RefSeq and is a predicted model, not a curated record.
UCUUUCUUUGCUGCGUCGAGACACACAAACAUAACACACACACACCACAUUUUAUUCUCAAAAUCAAUCUAUGAUUUAUUGAAAUCAAAUGGGAAAUAAAUUUUAGUGUUAUAACAAAAUCAUUUGGCAAGCAUAAUUUUCUUGUAAUCAGCAUCCUCAUCGUCAUCUUCUAAACUUUAUUUCAAGAACUUCAAAUUGGUUCGGAUAGACGUGGAGACUAAAUUGCUCAUUUACAAAUCUGCUCAUCCUUUUAAUUCGUCAAUCUAUAAGGUAACCAACAGUAAGUCUUGGAUCAUCUUGGCAUUUUAGGGCCAUUCUUUUGACUUUGGAUGUACAAUUAGCAUCAGACAUAUGCGAACUAUCAUCUUAUUAGUUCUAAUCGUACUAGACUGUCCAAAUAUUUAUCUUGUAUUCAGUGGGCCAAAUUCCAUAUAUGGAUGACUUGUAUCCGUAUUCUGGGGUUCACAUUUGAACGAUUGUACUUGUAUUAGACUUGUAUUUGGUAUUAAAUAGAUGUAAUUUCUAUUA